Molecule: ribosomal RNA, 463 nt
Filed under: uncultured Klebsiella sp.
Lineage: Bacteria; Pseudomonadati; Pseudomonadota; Gammaproteobacteria; Enterobacterales; Enterobacteriaceae
Description: bacterial SSU rRNA
Rfam family: Bacterial small subunit ribosomal RNA
Source: RNAcentral
CUACGGGUGGCUGCAGUGGGGAAUAUUGCACAAUGGGCGCAAGCCUGAUGCAGCCAUGCCGCGUGUGUGAAGAAGGCCUUCGGGUUGUAAAGCACUUUCAGCGGGGAGGAAGGCGUUAAGGUUAAUAACCUUGGCGAUUGACGUUACCCGCAGAAGAAGCACCGGCUAACUCCGUGCCAGCAGCCGCGGUAAUACGGAGGGUGCAAGCGUUAAUCGGAAUUACUGGGCGUAAAGCGCACGCAGGCGGUCUGUCAAGUCGGAUGUGAAAUCCCCGGGCUCAACCUGGGAACUGCAUUCGAAACUGGCAGGCUAGAGUCUUGUAGAGGGGGGUAGAAUUCCAGGUGUAGCGGUGAAAUGCGUAGAGAUCUGGAGGAAUACCGGGGGCGAAGGCGGCCCCCUGGACAAAGACUGACGCUCAGGUGCGAAAGCGUGGGGAGCAAACAGGAUUAGAUACCCAGUAGUC